This 460-nucleotide ribosomal RNA is filed under the name uncultured bacterium. Its description in RNAcentral is "partial 16S ribosomal RNA". It matches the Rfam family "Bacterial small subunit ribosomal RNA", at positions 338 to 795 of the family's 1533-position model. The record is from RNAcentral.
CCUACGGGAGGCAGCAUUGAGGAAUAUUGGUCAAUGGGCGCGAGCCUGAACCAGCCAAGUCGCGUGAGGGAGGACGGCCCUACGGGUUGUAAACCUCUUUUGCCGGGGAGCAACGGGCGCCACGUGUGGCGUCACUGAGAGUACCCGGAGAAAAAGCAUCGGCUAACUCCGUGCCAGCAGCCGCGGUAAUACGGAGGAGGCGAGCGUUAUCCGGAUUUAUUGGGUUUAAAGGGUGCGUAGGCGGAUCGUUAAGUCAUUGGACAAUUUGAGGGGCUCAACCCCUUCCCGCCAUUGAAACUGGCGUUCUUGAGUGGAAGAGAAGUAUGCGGAAUGCGUGGUGUAGCGGUGAAAUGCAUAGAUAUCACGCAGAACCCCGAUUGCGAAGGCAGCAUGCCGGCUUCCGACUGACGCUGAAGCACGAAAGCGUGGGGAUCGAACAGGAUUAGAUACCCCGGUAGUC